CCUACGGGAGGCUGCAGUGGGGAAUAUUGCACAAUGGGGGAAACUCUGACGCAGCAAUGCCGCGUGAGUGAUGACGGCCUUCGGGUUGUAUAGUUCUGUCUUCAGGGACGAUUAUGAUGGCACUUGCGGAGGAAGCCACGGCUAACUACGUGCCAGCAGCAGCGGCAAUACGUCGGUGGCGAGCGUUGUCCGGAUGUACUGGGCGUAAAGGGAGGGUAGGCGGACUUUUAAGUGAGAUGUGAAAUACUCGGGCUCAACUUGAGUGCUGCAUUUCAAACUGGAAGUCUAGAGUGCAGUAGAGGAGAGUGGAAUUCCUAGUGUAGCGGUGAAAUGCGUAGAGAUUAGGAAGAACACCAGAGGCGAAGGCGAUUCUCUGGACUGUAACUGACGCUGAGGCUCGAAAGCGUGGGGAGCAAACAGGAUUAGAUACCCGAGUAGUC
This 440-nucleotide ribosomal RNA is filed under the name uncultured bacterium. RNAcentral describes it as "partial 16S ribosomal RNA". It matches the Rfam family "Bacterial small subunit ribosomal RNA", at positions 338 to 795 of the family's 1533-position model. The record is from RNAcentral.